ACCCCCCUGCCCUGGAGACCCCCUGCCCUGGGACCCCCCUGGCUCUGGGACCCCCUUCCCUGGAGACCCCCUGUGUGGCACCCCCCUGCCCUGGGACCCCUGGCUCUGGGACCCCCUGUCCUGGGGAUCCCCCUACCCUGGGACCCCCCUCCUGCUCUGGAACCCCCUGCCCUGGGGACCCCCAGCUCUGGGACCCCCUGCCCUGGGGACCCCCCUGUCCUGGGGACCCCCAGCUCUGGGACACCCCCCUGCUCUAGAACCCCCUGUCCUGGGGAUCCCCCUACCCUGGGACCCCCCUCCCAGCGUGUGGGUGCAGUGACAGGACCCCCCCAUCUCUCCCCAUCCCCCCUGGUGUGCUCCCCUUCACCCCGAGCGCGUGCCCGGCUCUCCUGCCCCUCCAGCUGGAUGGAUCUCUCCUGACUCUUGUUUAUUUGUAUAAAUAGAUGCUAAUUUAUGCUCCCGCCGUCUUCCUCCUUGUACAUACAGAAAUUCCUUGUAAAUAGGCGUAGGAAGUGACGCUGUGCGCGUGACCUGCUGUGCUGUGGCCAUGGUGGUGCAUUUAUAUAUAUAUAUAUAUAUAUAUUCUGAUUUUUUUUUCCUUUUUUUUUGGUUUUGUUUUCCUCUCUCUCUCAGUGUGGUAACCUUGCUUGUGAAUAUCACUUUUAAAAAAAAAAAACAACAAAACAACAACAAAAAAAAACACCAAACAACCAAACCACAAGAAAACUCUUUAUUAUUUAAAUAAGAUUGAAUAAUUAAUUAAUUGAGUCAGCGAGGCCGAGCCGACUGGAGCGAAUCGGCCCCGGGUUGGGCUCGUGGGGGGCGAGCGGGGCUGGGAGCUCGGCUGGUUUGCUCCAGGGAUUUGGGAUCUCGUUUUCCUGUAGUUCUGUGCUUCUGUGGAGACUGUGAAUAAGUGGAUAUUCCCGUAGCCAUGACAGAGCUGCCCUUUAUUUAUUUUUCCCGGAGCGCUGUGUCUUUAUUUUACAGAUUUCCCCUCUAUUCCUCCCCCCAGCCAUGAUUCCAUCUCCUUUCCCUCCACCUUUUCCCUCUCCCCCCUCUCUCUCUUUUUUGUGAAGUUUACUUAUGGAAGAGUUAACACUGUACUGUACAAAUGUCAAAAGUGUCAAAAAGAGUACAAUUUCCUAAAAAUCACUGUAUUAAAAAGAAAUGUUGUGAAGAAAUAAACCGAUGCUGAUCAGAAGUUCCGCGGGGUCC
This 1215-nucleotide long non-coding RNA is filed under the name Parus major (Great Tit). RNAcentral's name for it is "lncRNA (ENSPMJG00000011733.1)". The record is from RNAcentral. Lineage: Eukaryota; Metazoa; Chordata; Aves; Passeriformes; Paridae.